This 88-nucleotide transfer RNA is filed under the name Candidatus Poribacteria bacterium. Its description in RNAcentral is "tRNA-Ser". It matches the Rfam family "tRNA". Rfam says of the family: Transfer RNA (tRNA) molecules are approximately 80 nucleotides in length. Their secondary structure includes four short double-helical elements and three loops (D, anti-codon, and T loops). The record is from RNAcentral. Lineage: Bacteria; Candidatus Poribacteria.
GGAGAGAUGCGAGAGCUGGCUGAAUCGGCAUGACUGGAAAUCAUGUGUACGGGAAACCGUACCGUGGGUUCAAAUCCCACUCUCUCCG